GGGCUCCUAUAGGUGGUGUAUAGAGGUGAUAGGGCUCCUAUAGGUGGUGUAUAGAGGUGAUAGGGCUCCUAUAGGUGGUGUAUAGAGGUGAUAGGGCUCCUAUAGGUGGUGUAUAGAGGUGAUAGGGCUCCUAUAGGUGGUGUAUAGAGGUGAUAGGGCUCCUAUAGGUGGUGUAUAGAGGUGACAGGGCUCCUAUAGGUGGUGUAUAGAGGUGACAGGGCUCCUAUAGGUGGUGUAUAGAGGUCCUAUAGGUGGUGUAUAGAGGUGAUAGGGCUCCUAUAGGUGGUGUAUAGAGGUGAUAGGGCUCCUAUAGGUGGUGUAUAGAGGUGAUAGGGCUCCUAUAGGUGGUGUAUAGAGGUGACAGGGCUCCUAUAGGUGGUGUAUAGAGGUGAUAGGGCUCCUAUAGGUGGUGUAUAGAGGUGAUAGGGCUCCUAUAGGUGGUGUAUAGAGGUGAUAGGGCUCCUAUAGGUGGUGUAUAGAGGUGAUAGGGCUCCUAUAGGUGGUGUAUAGAGGUGAUAGGGCUCCUAUAGGUGGUGUAUAGAGGUGAUAGGGCUCCUAUAGGUGGUGUAUAGAGGUGAUAGGGCUCCUAUAGGUGGUGUAUAGAGGUGAUAGGGCUCCUAUAGGUGGUGUAUAGAGGUGAUAGGGCUCCUAUAGGUGGUGUAUAGAGGUGAUAGGGCUCCUAUAGGUGGUGUAUAGA
Molecule: long non-coding RNA, 697 nt
Organism: Coregonus clupeaformis (lake whitefish)
Lineage: Eukaryota; Metazoa; Chordata; Actinopteri; Salmoniformes; Salmonidae
Exons: 3
Source: RefSeq, a predicted model, not a curated record